GUUGCCGUGGAUAUCUAUGGCUCGUCUGAAAUGCUUCAGUGUACCCCGCAGAGCGGCGUAUUCGGUGUGAUACAUCUUCACCGGAGUUGAUCCUUUACGGGUCGCGUCUGUAAUGUGUGGCUCUAUGCUUCCAACCGUCUUGAUAGGACAAUCUUUGACAAUUCGACCUCAAAUCGGGUGGGACUACCCGCUGAACUUAA
RNAcentral lists this unclassified non-coding RNA (200 nucleotides) under Sebacinales sp. Its description in RNAcentral is "partial contains internal transcribed spacer 2 and large subunit ribosomal RNA". RNAcentral also lists the same sequence under 1 other name. The record is from RNAcentral. Lineage: Eukaryota; Fungi; Basidiomycota; Agaricomycetes; Sebacinales.